This 301-nucleotide ribosomal RNA is filed under the name uncultured bacterium. Its description in RNAcentral is "partial 16S ribosomal RNA". It matches the Rfam family "Bacterial small subunit ribosomal RNA", at positions 509 to 809 of the family's 1533-position model. The record is from RNAcentral.
CAGUCGCCGCGGGAAUACAGAGGGUGCGAGCGUUAAUCGGAUUUACUGGGCGUAAAGCGUGCGUAGGCGGCUAAUUGAGUCGGAUGUGAAAUCCCCGAGCUUAACUUGGGAAUUGCAUUCGAUACUGGUUAGCUAGAGUGUGGGAGAGGAUGGUAGAAUUCCAGGUGUAGCGGUGAAAUGCGUAGAGAUCUGGAGGAAUACCGAUGGCGAAGGCAGCCAUCUGGCCUAACACUGACGCUGAGGUACGAAAGCAUGGGGAGCAAACAGGAUUAGAUACCCCAGUAGUCCCUGUCUCUUAUAA